UACGAAGGGUGCAAGCGUUACUCGGAAUUACUGGGCGUAAAGCGUGCGUAGGUGGUUUGUUAAGUCUGUUGUGAAAGCCCCGGGCUCAACCUGGGAAUGGCAAUGGAUACUGGCAAGCUAGAGUGCGGUAGAGGGUAGUGGAAUUCCCGGUGUAGCGGUGAAAUGCGUAGAGAUCGGGAGGAACACCGAUGGCGAAGGCAGCCCCCUGGGCCAAAACUGACGCUCAGGCACGAAAGCGUGGGGAGCAAACAGGG
This 254-nucleotide ribosomal RNA is filed under the name uncultured bacterium. RNAcentral's name for it is "partial 16S ribosomal RNA". It matches the Rfam family "Bacterial small subunit ribosomal RNA", at positions 524 to 777 of the family's 1533-position model. The record is from RNAcentral.